CGAGAUAUCUGGUUGAUCCUGCCUGAACUGAUGUGUUCAUUUCAAAGAUUAAGCCAUGCAUGUACAAGUUUAAUCGUUUUAACGAGAAACCGCGAACGGCUCAUUACAAUGGCCAUGAUUUACUUGAUCUUGAUUAUCUAAAUGGAUAACUGUGGAAAAGCUAGAGCUAAUACAUGCACCAAAGCUUUGUCCUCUCGGAAAAGCGCAUUUAUUAGAACAAAACCACGCGGCUUCGGCUGCUUCUUGUUGACUCAGAAUAACUAAGCUGACCGCAUGGCCUUGUGCCGGCGGCGUGUCUUUCAAGCGUCCACUUUAUCAACUUGACGGGAGCAUAAUCGACUCCCGUGGUGGUGACGGAUAACGGAGGAUCAGGGUUCGACUCCGGAGAAGGGGCCUGAGAAAUGGCCACUACGUCUAAGGAUGGCAGCAGGCGCGCAAAUUACCCACUCUCGGCUCGAGGAGGUAGUGACGAGAAAUAACGAGAUCGUUCUCUUUGAGGCCGGUCAUCGGAAUGGGUACAAUUUAAACCCUUUAACGAGUAUCAAGCAGAGGGCAAGUCUGGUGCCAGCAGCCGCGGUAAUUCCAGCUCUGCUAAUACAUAGAAUUAUUGCUGCGGUUAAAAAGCUCGUAGUUGGAUUCGUAUCGGUACCCUGGAACCCUCCGGGUGUUUCUGGGUGUUAUCGAUUUAUCGUAAUGUUCGGUUUUGAGUCCUUAACAGGAUUCUUAACAGGCAUUGCAAGUUUACUUUGAACAAAUCAGAGUGCUUCAAACAGGCGUUUUCGCUUGAAUGAUCGUGCAUGGAAUAAUAGAAAACGAUUUCGGUUCAGUUUUAUUGGUUUUACGGACUGAGAUAAUGGUUAACAGAGACAAACGGGGGCAUUUGUAUGGCCCCGUGAGAGGUGAAAUUCUUGGACCGUGGCCAGACAAACUACAGCGAAAGCAUUUGCCAAGAAUGUCUUCAUUAAUCAAGAACGAAAGUCAGAGGUUCGAAGGCGAUCAGAUACUUCGGGAAAAGAAUUGGCUCUAAAGGUUGGGUCAGUCGGGCUGUUGCUAUGAUGGUAAUCCUGCUUAGUACGAGAGGAACCGCAGGUUCAGACAUUUGGUUCAUGUGCUUGGUCGAUAGGCCAAUGGCGCGAAGCUACCAUCUGAGGGAUUAUGACUGAACGCCUCUAAGUCAGAAUCCCGCCCAGUCAUGAUAGCAAUAUAUAUCGCUCUCCGGUGUCGGAAGGCAAAAUGUAUACCACUUUAAGUGGCAGUACAAGCCCCAGUAUCUGGCAUUUUCCUUCUACUAUAAUUGGUAGUUGGUUGCUAAAAGCUUAGCACUCCUCGUGCAGGUGUAACGUCGGGGCGCAAAAUCACUUGUAUACGACUUGAAUACUGGUCAGGGGGUUGUAUCCAGUAGAGCAGCUCUUCGCUGCGAUCUGUUGAGACUUAGCCCUUGAUCGGAUGAUUUGUCUUUUUUAUAUACUAUAGACCUGUUUAUUUUUUACUUCCGGGCCAAGCGAAAUCGCGACUAUGAAGGCCCCAAUUUCUCUAACAUUCAAUUUCUAUCUAACAUUUCCCAAUUUCUAUCUAACAUUCAAUUGUGUAUACUUCCACUUAAUGCUUUACUUUGUAAUUUCGGUAACCCGGCAAUUUUCAACCAAGCCCAACAAUCCGAAACUAAUUAAAACAUUAACCCGGUUCAAAAUGCAAAAUUGGGAGCAAAGAUGGCAUUUCUACGGAAACCAUGCCUUACUAGAAUCCCCUCUCGACCUCCAAGGAACCACUACUAUGGUCUCGACUCCCUUUGUGGGCUUAACCUUUUAUACAAUCGUUUAAAUGGGUAUAAUGUUGAUCACGUAAUUUUUCAAGCCAGUUAAGCAAAGCUCUACCCUGCAACAUAUAUUGUAC
Non-coding RNA from Meloidogyne enterolobii, 1893 nucleotides. Lineage: Eukaryota; Metazoa; Nematoda; Chromadorea; Rhabditida; Meloidogynidae. The record is from the annotation of a GenBank genome assembly.